This is a non-coding RNA of Physcomitrium patens, 2751 nucleotides long. The record is from RefSeq and is a predicted model, not a curated record. Lineage: Eukaryota; Viridiplantae; Streptophyta; Bryopsida; Funariales; Funariaceae.
CUUUCCUCACUCCCUACAGUUCUGUUUGAUGCACCCACCACUCAUAUCUCGCCUUCAUCGCAGUGGCAGCUCCCGUCGCUAUUGCAAUGUCGCACUCUUCCUCACUGGACCUUUAACUCUCCUUUUCCUGUCAGCGCUCUCCUUCUGUGGUGCGUUUGUUGAGUCUGCCUGUUGUGGAAUGUAUGAACGUUAUUUCAAUUUUCGCAAGUCCUCCGCCAGAAAUUUACACUUUAGCUUGCUUGCACUCGCUAAAUUUCGUGCAAGUAGGUGUUUUCUGGAUGUAUGAGGGAAUUACUACUUCCGAGCUGCCGGGAUUCUUUCAGUACAGACUUGUGACUGGAUUGUAGAAGGCGAGUGCACAAGUUACACGUUUGGAAAAAUAUCGACGAUUUAUAUUUACGUUUUUUCGAUUGCAGUGAGUCGAUCUCGUUGCCAUUGAAGGGUAUGCUGACGUGAAGGAGCCAUUAUACUUUGCAUGAUGUUUUAGUGCACAUAUUUGCAAAAAGCGGCAGUUUCUUUCUAAGCUGUUGCGUUGACGCACAAUUGAGCUUAGGUAUGUUUGCUGGGCCUGAUUAGCAGUUGAAUUAUGCUUGUCGGGGAAGAAAAGCAGAUAAUACCUGGCAACUGCAUAGGAAAAAAUGUGAGUGCAGUUUGUGCGGUUAUGAGUGCGUACUCGCGUAGGAAUGUUUGUUGCAGAUAAGUUCAAUUCUCCUGUGAUAGCACUAUGCAUUGCGGGAGCGGACAGGUUGGUGGCAAAUGGAAAAGAGGAUGUUACUUAAUGAGGGAGGCGCAUCCUUUACAGCUUGUCACAAAAUCUUGAAAGCUUAGUAAUACUUCUCAACCAAUUCAUUUACAUUUCUCAAGCUGGACUACUCUCUCCAGAGUAGGGAUGCUGAUGUUCCCGCAUGUAGCCCUCGUUUUAGCGACAGACUUGAGAUAGAAGGAGUGUACAAGAUACUCCAAAGAUGAAAUCUACAGAUAGAGAAUCUUAUCAUGAUUCCAUUGAAAGGAUAAAGAGUACGAAGGCAGACUGAUUGCAGUCCAUAGCAAAACUCUGUUUAAGUGAAAUUUCUGUAGCGGCUAUGGUGCAUAAUCUCUGCCAAGGAUUUGACGCUGAGACUUGCAUGACCGUGAUAAGAAAUUUGACGGGAUAAUUAUUUUGCAAUGUUGGAUUCAUAGCGAUCUAAUUUUAAAACAAGAGAGUAUUAUGCUUUACAUGAAGGGUAGCCACCGAGAUGAAAGCUUAACAACUCCCACAACCAAGAGCUUGAUAGUUUUUUCAAUAUUGUUCAUGAGUUCAUUUAAGAAAAUGUAGAAUUAUUAGUGGUUUUAAAGAAAGUUGGGCGUGAACUUGGCGACGAGUCAGUGCCAGCUAGAGGCCGUAAGGAGGCUUCACAAUACCCUCGAUUCGGAACGGGACUGCUUGGAACGGAGUUAGUGCCAGACAGCUGCAGGUACUGCAUUGUUGUACCAUGUGAUUCUCGAUCCUGUGGCAGAAGUUUUCGCUGGAGACGUGUUGCUCAAAGGAUUGCAGGAGAAAGUGCAUCGUGACCAGGACAAGAACGCACGGGAAACCGCUGGUGUGAUGCUGGCCGUGAGGACUCUCUGGUUUGAUGCCCGCCUCGAAGGAACACUUGCCCAAUUUGACUCUAAGCCGACUGGAUAACAGGUUGUCCUCUUAGGUGCUGGAAUGGACGCCCGCGCAUAUCGACUUCGUUCAAUUAAAGAUUGUUCCGUGUUUGAAGUGGACUCUGCGAAAGUGAUGCACUUUAAGGAGUCCAUAUUCCAGGCAAUGGUGGAAGCGGGAGAGCACUUACCCAUGCUUGAGGCAAAAAGCUUAAACAGAGUGGCUGACAUCGCCACUGAAGAUUGGUUUAACAGACGGAAAGCUACUGGCUUCAAGGCGCAUCUACCCACAGUUUGGAUUUUGGAAGGGUUUUUGUACUACCUGCAAGAAUCCCGUGCAACAGAGACCUUGAGGUGCAUUUCUCAGAAUUGCUUGAACGAGACGGUGAUGAUGGCCGACUUCAUGAACGAGUCUUCUACCCACUUACCCAUGAGCUGAAGACUCAUUUCUAUUUUCACAGUGAUUGGCCAGAGGAUCUCCUGUCUAAGCUUCGGUUCUCUCGAGUAAAGGUCUCACAAAUUGGUGACCCCGAUGCUAACUUCGGACUCGUGAAUGACGAGCUCAACCUUUUCCACCAAAUUCGUCGUGUCUCCAGGCAUGCGAAGGCAGAUGUUAAUGGCAAGCCUUACAGAAGGCUACUUCUCGUUGAAAGCUGGGCGCCGUGAUUUCUCCUCCCACUCGUCUAUAAUGAGAGCUCUAUGAAGCUGGCUCACUUUAAUGGUUGCAUUUCCGCCAAGUGUUCUCCACAACCACAAGAGGAGAUCUUCACAGCCUGUGGCGGGCAGAGUCUGGGAUUGAUUAAAUUGCGUGAUUAUCAUGCAAAAGAUGGACCUGUUUUGGUUGUCACUCGCCCUGGCCAGAGUCAAGGUAAAAGUGAUAUUCUGAAAACGAAAUCUCGGUUGUAUCAAUGAAAAUCAUAGAAGUUGAAGUCCCAGCAUUCUUGAACAAUGUAAAAAUAAAAUUGUCUUGAUGCAUUCCCCUGAAGGUGGCACAAUGGUCAUUCUGGAGACUAUCCUGUCACGAACUAUGUUACCAAGACUCUAACCGACCCCGACUCUCGAAUGACAUAGUCACUGACAAACCAGUCACUACAAUGACCAAACCCAUCUGAAUGCUAAAAUCGA